AGUGAACGCUGGCGGUAGGCCUAACACAUGCAAGUCGAACGGCAGCACAGUAAGAGCUUGCUCUUACGGGUGGCGAGUGGCGGACGGGUGAGGAAUACAUCGGAAUCUACUUUUUCGUGGGGGAUAACGUAGGGAAACUUACGCUAAUACCGCAUACGACCUACGGGUGAAAGCAGGGGAUCUUCGGACCUUGCGCGAUUGAAUGAGCCGAUGUCGGAUUAGCUAGUUGGGGGGGUAAAGGCCCACCAAGGCGACGAUCCGUAGCUGGUCUGAGAGGAUGAGCGGCGAGGCUGGAACUGGGAAGGAGUCAAGACGCCAACGGGAGGAAGCAGUCGGGAAUGUUCGGGAAUGGGCGAAAGCAUGAUAGAGCAACGCUGCGGGAGUGAUGAAAGAGUUCGGAUCGUAAACACCUUUGUUCAGGGAAGAAAAAAAGAAUAAGCACAUAUGCACGUCGUGACGGUACCUAAUGAAAAAGCUACGGCUAACUACGUG
Molecule: ribosomal RNA, 492 nt
Filed under: uncultured bacterium
Lineage: Bacteria
Description: partial 16S ribosomal RNA
Rfam family: Bacterial small subunit ribosomal RNA
Source: RNAcentral